CUGUUGAGUGUGUUUCCAAUUGAAAAAAGGCCCUGAAUAACCACAUUUUAAGUUUUAAUGCCCAUAAUAAGCGUCUCUAAUGGUCAGUAGGGGCCAUUUUUCGGGUAUUUGGUUAUUUGGGGCUUUUUUAGCCUAAAAUUGGUUAUUUGGGGCCCAAACCCAAUAUGUCAUACUCUUACUUUUCAUCUAUUGAGGUACUAAAACUUAAUCUUCAAGAACUCAACAAUCUUUCACAUCAUCUAAUCUUCAGUACUGCCUCUCCAUGCACAAGUUUGACAUCUACAAAUUUAAAAAGAAGUGAAAAACAGAGUUUAACUAGAAUUGGUGGGGAGCUGCGCGAACGCAAGCUCCCCCUAGCACAAAUUAUGACGUAGGCUCCACCACUUGGGUAGACCUUAGGCGAGAGCCCUUCCGGAGUGCAAUGGAAGCCUCUAACCUAGGCCAUGGCCCUUCUUGAUCAGCCAUCGACCCCGUCCAGGUAAGUGCCUUUCACGUUGCAUCUUCCUCCAGUCUUAUAGCUCCUCUCCAUCCCUUGCUCUUUCUUAUUCUCGAUGUGGGACGAACAUUAAAUAAUGUAGCAUUACGUCACCAACAUUAUAAAUUGAUAUUACCAUUAUAAAUUGAUAUUUGGGAUAUAUCCGGAUCCGGAUGCAAUAUUUGAGACCUUAUUUCUCAAAAUUAUCAGUUUUGCUCGCGAUUUUGAACCGGAAAUGAUCCAAUUUUUUCGAGUAAAUCUGGGGUCAAUUUUUUAGAGUGAAUCUUGGGGUGUCAGAUUCGAAAUCCAAACCUGAAAUUUUGGUCCGGUAAUUUUGAUAAUUUCGAGUAACAGGUCGUGUUCAUGUCGAAUAGAUUUCGAGUUAAACUAAAACUACUUAAACUAAAAUUACUUAAAACUGAAUAUAGAUUUCGAGUUGAACUAAAAUUACUUAAAACUCCUAACACAAUAAAAAAAAUACUUAAAACUGAAUUAAACUUAUUAGAAAAUUUCGGGUCAACCGGGUUUUGUUCGGGGUCGGGUUACCACCCCUAAAAUAUUUCUCUUUUUGCCAGGCUCAUGAAGAGAAAAUUUUCCACUACAAUGACAUUCUUCGUGAUAAAAAUUUGAACUCAUAUUGCAGGAGUCGCUCCAAGGGAACAACUCUCCAAAAAUAGGCGUAUGCCACUGUGAGUGGCGAGCACACGGUAUUCUUUAGUAAAAGGCGAAAGAAUAGUUCGCUUUGUGCUCACCACAUGGCUGCGUAAGUUUAAACAGCAUGGGAUAGUGCACACUUAUAACUGAGCGG
This 1283-nucleotide long non-coding RNA is filed under the name Daucus carota (carrot). Its description in RNAcentral is "long non-coding RNA (DCAR_LNC005651)". The record is from RNAcentral. Lineage: Eukaryota; Viridiplantae; Streptophyta; Magnoliopsida; Apiales; Apiaceae.